GUCACCCUACGGGGGGCAGCAGUGAGGAAUAUUGGUCAAUGGGAGAGAUCCUGAACCAGCCACGCCGCGUGAGGGAAGACGGCCCUAUGGGUUGUAAACCUCUUUUGUCGGAGAACAAAACCCGGGACGUGUCCCGGACUGCGUGUAUCCGAAGAAAAAGCAUCGGCUAACUCCGUGCCAGCAGCCGCGGUAAUACGGAGGAUGCGAGCGUUAUCCGGAUUUAUUGGGUUUAAAGGGUGCGUAGGCGGACGCUUAAGUCAGCGGUAAAAUUGCGGGGCUCAACCUCGUCGAGCCGUUGAAACUGG
RNAcentral lists this ribosomal RNA (305 nucleotides) under uncultured bacterium. RNAcentral's name for it is "bacterial SSU rRNA". It matches the Rfam family "Bacterial small subunit ribosomal RNA", at positions 333 to 636 of the family's 1533-position model. The record is from RNAcentral.